This 331-nucleotide ribosomal RNA is filed under the name uncultured eukaryote. Its description in RNAcentral is "partial 18S ribosomal RNA". It matches the Rfam family "Eukaryotic small subunit ribosomal RNA", at positions 1470 to 1796 of the family's 1831-position model. The record is from RNAcentral.
CCCUUAGAUGUUCUGGGCCGCACGCGCGCUACACUGACGAAGUCAGCGAGCAUGUCCUACGCCGACAGGUGCGGGGAAUCUUGUCAAACUUCGUCGUGAUGGGGAUUGAUUAUUGAAAUUCUUGAUCAUCAACGAGGAAUUCCUAGUAAGCGCAAGUCAGCAGCUUGCGUUGAUUACGUCCCUGCCCUUUGUACACACCGCCCGUCGCUACUACCGAUUGAAUGGUUUAGUGAGAUCUUCGGAUUGGCGCCACUGCGGCUCAGCAAUGGGCUCGAUGGAUGCCGAAAAGUUGAUCAAACUUGAUCAUUUAGAGGAAGUAAAAGUCGUAACA